RNAcentral lists this ribosomal RNA (1276 nucleotides) under Cryptocephalus bipunctatus. RNAcentral describes it as "16S ribosomal RNA". The stretch from base 1066 to 1225 matches the Rfam family "Archaeal large subunit ribosomal RNA", at positions 2542 to 2701 of the family's 2987-position model. The record is from RNAcentral. Lineage: Eukaryota; Metazoa; Arthropoda; Insecta; Coleoptera; Chrysomelidae.
UUGUUGAUCAAUUUGUUCUGAAGAAAGAAUUUUAUUUUUAUUAAUAAUUUUAUAUUAUUUAUUUAAAAUAUUAUUGUUUAAUUAAUUUUGAUGAAAGAAUUUCUUUAAUUAUAGAUAAUUACGUAUCGUAAGAGAAUAAUUUUUACUGUUAAAAAGAAGAAUUUAUUUUUCGUACCUUGUGUAUCAGGGUUAAUUAAAUUGUUUAUAUAAAUAUAUGUGUCUCGAAUCUAAAAGAGUUAAAAUUAUAUUUUGUUAAAUGUUUCAUAAUUUUUUAUAAUAUAAUUUUGGUAAUGAAACGUUAUUCGUUUUUUGAUAUAUCUAGUUUUUUAAGAAAUAAAUUCAAUUUAUUUAUUUUUAAAAUUAUUUUUAUUUAUUAAUUUAAUUUUGGAAGUAUUUAAUUUUUUUGGGGAAAAGCUUGGAAGAAUAAAUUUAUUUGAAUUUAAUACUAAGUUUGUAUGUAGGAUUAUAAAUUUCCGUCUAUUUUAGAAUGUUAUAGUUUUCUUACUGUGUUUUAUUAUUUUUAUUUUCAAUAAAUUUUAUAUUAAAAUUUUAAAUUUAAUUUUAGAAUUUAAGAAAUAAUGAUUGAAUUAGUAUAUUUAUUUGUAUAUAUAUAUAUUGAAAUAUUAGAUAUGAAUAAUGAACUUGGCAAACUUGUUUUUCACCUGUUUAUUAAAAACAUGUCUUUUUGAAUAUAAUUUAAGGUUGGGCCUGCUCAAUGACUAAGUUAAAUAGCUGCAGUAUUUUGACUGUACUAAGGUAGCAUAAUCAUUAGUUUCUUAAUUAGGAACUGGAAUGAAAGGUUUGAUGAGAAAAUAGCUGUCUCUUAUAUAAAUAUAUAAAUUUAUUUUUAAGUAAAAAGGCUUAAAUUUAAUUAAAAGACGAGAAGACCCUAUAGAGUUUAAUAAAUUUAUUAAUUUUUUAAUUAAAGUUAUUAAUUUUAAUUAAUUAUAAAAUUUAUUUGGUUGGGGUGAUUUUAAAAUUAAGGAAACUUUUAAAUUUAAUGAAACUUUAAUUUAAGACUAAUUUGAUCCAUAUUUAAUGAUUAUAAGAAUAAAUUACCUUAGGGAUAACAGCGUAAUUUUUUUUUAGAGUACAAAUCCAUAAAAAAGAUUGCGACCUCGAUGUUGGAUUAAAAUUUACUUUUAGGUGCAAAAGCUAGAUGGUUGAGUCUGUUCGACUCUUAAAAUUUUACAUGAUCUGAGUUUAAACCGGCGUGAGCCAGGUUGGUUUCUAUCUUUAAUGAAAGAAGAAAUUUCAGUACGAAAGGACCAAAUUU